RNAcentral lists this ribosomal RNA (301 nucleotides) under uncultured bacterium. Its description in RNAcentral is "partial 16S ribosomal RNA". It matches the Rfam family "Bacterial small subunit ribosomal RNA", at positions 509 to 808 of the family's 1533-position model. The record is from RNAcentral.
CAGUAGCCGCGGUAAUACGUAGGUCCCGAGCGUUGUCCGGAUUUAUUGGGCGUAAAGGGAGCGCAGGCGGUUUAGUAAGUCUGAAGUUAAAGGCAUUGGCUCAACCAAUGUAUGCUUUGGAAACUGUUAGACUUGAGUGCAGAAGGGGAGAGUGGAAUUCCAUGUGUAGCGGUGAAAUGCGUAGAUAUAUGGAGGAACACCGGUGGCGAAAGCGGCUCUCUGGUCUGUCACUGACGCUGAGGCUCGAAAGCGUGGGUAGCGAACAGGAUUAGAUACCCCAGUAGUCCCUGUCUCUUAUACA